CCUACGGGAGGCUGCAGUGAGGAAUAUUGGUCAAUGGACGCAAGUCUGAACCAGCCAUGCCGCGUGCAGGAAGACGGCUCUAUGAGUUGUAAACUGCUUUUGUACGAGGAUAAACUCAGAUACGCGUAUCUUUCUGAAAGUAUCUUACGAAUAAGGAUCGGCUAACUCCGUGCCAGCAGCCGCGGUAAUACGGAGGAUUCGAGCGUUAUCCGGAUUUAUUGGGUUUAAAGGGUGCGUAGGCGGUCGGAUAAGUUAGAGGUGAAAUCUCGAGGCUCAACUUCGGAAUUGCCUCUGAUACUGUCAGGCUAGAGAGUAGUUGCGGUAGGCGGAAUGCAUGGUGUAGCGGUGAAAUGCUUAGAGAUCACACAGAACACCGAUUGCGAAGGCAGCUUACCAAGCUACGUCUGACGUUGAUGCACGAAAGUGUGGGGAUCAAACAGGAUUAGAUACCCUUGUAGUC
RNAcentral lists this ribosomal RNA (460 nucleotides) under uncultured bacterium. Its description in RNAcentral is "partial 16S ribosomal RNA". It matches the Rfam family "Bacterial small subunit ribosomal RNA", at positions 338 to 795 of the family's 1533-position model. The record is from RNAcentral.